This 577-nucleotide ribosomal RNA is filed under the name uncultured bacterium. RNAcentral's name for it is "partial 16S ribosomal RNA". It matches the Rfam family "Bacterial small subunit ribosomal RNA", at positions 355 to 923 of the family's 1533-position model. The record is from RNAcentral.
UGGGGAAUUUUGGACAAUGGGCGCAAGCCUGAUCCAGCCAUGCCGCGUGCGGGAAGAAGGCCUUCGGGCUGUAAACCGCUUUUGUCAGGGAAGAAAUCUUCUGAGUUAAUACCUCGGGAGGAUGACGGUACCUGAAGAAUAAGCACCGGCUAACUACGUGCCAGCAGCCGCGGUAAUACGUAGGGUGCAAGCGUUAAUCGGAAUUACUGGGCGUAAAGCGUGCGCAGGCGGUUUUGUAAGACAGAGGUGAAAUCCCCGGGCUCAACCUGGGAACUGCCUUUGUGACUGCAAGGCUUGAGUGCGGCAGAGGGGGAUGGAAUUCCGCGUGUAGCAGUGAAAUGCGUAGAUAUGCGGAGGAACACCGAUGGCGAAGGCAAUCCCCUGGGCCUGCACUGACGCUCAUGCACGAAAGCGUGGGGGGCAAACAGGGUUAGAUACCCUGGUAGUGCCACGCCCUAAACGAUGUCAACUGGUUGUUGGGAAGGUUCCUUCUCAGUAAACGUAGCUAACGCGUGAAGUUGACCGCCUGGGGAGUACGGCCGCAAGGUUGAAACUCAAAGGAAUUGACGGGGUCAUA